Molecule: ribosomal RNA, 219 nt
Filed under: uncultured bacterium
Lineage: Bacteria
Description: partial 16S ribosomal RNA
Rfam family: Bacterial small subunit ribosomal RNA
Source: RNAcentral
GUUAAGUUCAGAUGUGAAAGACCCGGGGCGUCAACCUCGGAAUAGCAUUUGAAACUAGGCAGACUAGAGUACUGUAGAGGGGGGUAGGAAGUUUCAGGUGUAGCGGUGAAAUGCGUAGAGAUCUGAAGGAAUACCGGUGGCGAAGGCGGCCCCCUCGGACAGAUACUGACACUCAGAUGCGAAAGCGUGGGGAGCAAACAGGAUUAGAUACCCUGGUAG